GGCUUUUAACCCGUGUAUAUCACAAGAUUUUCCUUCAAUUUUGUUUAACAGGUCAGACUCAGGAAGAAUCGGGAUAUGACCUGACCAGCCACAGCAGGCAGUCAAACAUCUUCCACCAUGGAAGAGGGAGUGAUCUGAAUCACCAGGAAACCUGGGUCACAUCUGACAAUCAGUUGUCAUCUGCGUGUAGGAAAGAAUUACAUCCACUGGUACCAAUUUCGAGAGGGACAGAUCCCAGGACGCCUUCUCUACGAGGCCUUCUCCCAAUCCAAAGCUGUGUUGGAUUCAGAACUCAGACCAGGGAAAUACAAUGCUUAUCAAAUCAGCAAGCAGAGCAAUAAAUUUGUAGUACUGAAUGUGGAAGAAAGUGAUUCUGGUGUGUACCUCUGUGCCGUCUGGGCAGGCACCUGCUCUAUGCUACACUGAGAAGUUUGCUUGUGGCUGCUUCUGGUACACAGGAUAGACCAACCCC
This 472-nucleotide long non-coding RNA is filed under the name Fukomys damarensis (Damara mole-rat). Its description in RNAcentral is "lncRNA (ENSFDAG00000026389.1)". The record is from RNAcentral. Lineage: Eukaryota; Metazoa; Chordata; Mammalia; Rodentia; Bathyergidae.